This 21-nucleotide microRNA is filed under the name Callorhinchus milii (elephant shark). RNAcentral's name for it is "eshark_NOVEL_42". The record is from RNAcentral. Lineage: Eukaryota; Metazoa; Chordata; Chondrichthyes; Chimaeriformes; Callorhinchidae.
GCUGCUUCUGUGACUUUAUGC